Corticium candelabrum is the source of this 1181-nucleotide long non-coding RNA. RefSeq lists it as uncharacterized. The transcript is spliced from 3 exons. NCBI's taxonomy places the organism in Eukaryota, Metazoa, Porifera, Homoscleromorpha, Homosclerophorida, Plakinidae. The record is from RefSeq and is a predicted model, not a curated record.
GCUGCUUUAUUAGAGAUGGAAAUAGCACUCGAUCAACUUUUGAUGUCUUUGUUUGUAUCUUGUGUUGCUUGAGCAUGUCUCCAGUGUGUCUUCAUGGGGUCAAAGACACCUACAUCUAAUGGCUGAAGUGCAUGAGGUGUGUUUGGGUGGAAGGCAGACAAUCUGGAUUCCUGCAGCUUUGGCAGUCUUCAGCAAGGGCAGAUUGAUGUGGGAAAGGUGGCCAUCGAAUAUCAAUAUAACUUUCCCAUUGACGAGUUGAUCUUGGACUUUAGGAAGAAACAACUUCUUAAACCAACUGGCAAAAUUUAGUUAUUCCGUCCAUCCUGAGGAACUCACUCCAUACACAGCAGCCCCCUUGUCCUCCAGUGGUGUAUUUAGACAAGAGAUUCUUGCCUUUAUAGAGAAUAAAUGGAGGGAAAUACUGACCAGCAGCUGAACCACAAUGAUGAACAGUUAUGUACUCCCUGCCACUUCCUCCCCCAACUUCAUAUACACCUUUAGCACCACGUUUUGCUAUGACUUUUAGUGAAAUUGUUUCUGUUGUAAACGCUGUUUCGUCACAGUUUCAUAUUCGUUUGCUGAUCUUCAUGCGAUGUUGGGAUCUUCAUCAUUAAGGUGUGCAGACUCAUACACUGCAGACAGUUUCUUUGUCCAUUCUUGGAUAACUUUGCAGAAUCGGCCAUCGUUUCAUAAAUGAGUACCACCGAGACUAACCAGGGAUUCCAUUCUUGAAUGGGUUUGGUAUUCUGUUGUCAGAAAUAUAUGACGCACCACAAGAAAAACUACGUCUUUGAGAGAAUGGUUGGUUUUCCUGCACCCACUUGUGACCGGAUUCCUUUGUAGUGAUCAUGCAAGGUCUUAGUUGGUAUACCAAAGUAACAAGCUGCUGGUCGGAAGCUCAUUGACUUGUCAUUCCUCAGAAGAGCAACAGCAGCAUCCAGAUCUUCGUUGCUGUAAUAUACAGCUUUCGUUUUCUUGUAACUUCGUACCAUAUUGCGUAGAGCAAUUGUAGCAAUUGCCAACAGACGGUCAGCUAGGUACUUACUGAUUGGACUUAUACGUUUCUAGUUAUAUAAGACUUGGUUGAAGGUGGGUGGCACCAUAGUAAAUUUUCUUUGUGAUAUGUAGUUGGGUAGAAUACAAGUAAACACUACAAAGGUAAUGAGAACGAAAUUCUAAAG